Molecule: non-coding RNA, 100 nt
Filed under: Clostridium senegalense
Lineage: Bacteria; Bacillati; Bacillota; Clostridia; Eubacteriales; Clostridiaceae
Description: SAM riboswitch (S box leader)
Rfam family: SAM riboswitch aptamer (S box leader)
About the family: The SAM riboswitch is found upstream of a number of genes which code for proteins involved in methionine or cysteine biosynthesis in Gram-positive bacteria. The SAM riboswitch acts at the level of transcription termination control.
Source: RNAcentral
UCUUAUUAUGAGUGAUUGAGGGAUCUGGCCCUAUGACGUCCGGCAACCAGCUUUUUAAAGCAUGGUGCUAAUUCCAGCGGUGUUAUGCCGAAAGAUAAGA